RNAcentral lists this ribosomal RNA (388 nucleotides) under uncultured bacterium. RNAcentral describes it as "bacterial SSU rRNA". It matches the Rfam family "Bacterial small subunit ribosomal RNA", at positions 28 to 416 of the family's 1533-position model. The record is from RNAcentral.
GACAAACGCUGGCGGGGUGCAUGAGACAUGCAAGUCGAACGGGGUUGAGCGGGCUUGCUCGAUCAACCUAGUGGCGGACGGCUGAGUAACGCGUAGGUGACCUACCCGGAAGUGGGGAAUAACUGCCCGAAAGGGUGGCUAAUACCGCAUGUGGUCGGCGAUUCGGUUCGCCGCCCAAAGCCGUAAGGCGCUUCCGGCGGGGCCUGCGUCCGAUUAGCUAGUUGGUGGGGUAAUGGCUCACCAAGGCGACGAUCGGUAGCUGGUCUGAGAGGAUGAUCAGCCAGACUGGGACUGAGAACGGCCCAGACUCCUACGGGAGGCAGCAGUCGGGAAUUUUGCCCAAUGGACGAAAGUCUGAGGCAGCAACUCCGCGUGAGGGACGAAGGCC